GACACAAAGCAGGUCAGAGUGUUUUCAUCUUUCAACAGUUUCAAUGGUUAGAACACUUACAUUGUACGAGAAAAAAAAAAUUAAAAUUCUUCAACAUUUGGGAAAGAAGUACUUGUAAAACUUUGCCAUCCAUUCUCCAUCUGGAAAAGCAAUAUUGUAAGUUAAGCCUGACGUGAUGUCUCCAGUCACCAAGUUUCCUGUAAAUUGAUUUCCUAUGGAAGUUACUUUCUUCUCACGGUACCAGUGUGUAGCUUGUUACAACUUGGACUAGCUGAGGACUUAUGAUGGACAAUUACAUGAUGAUACAU
Molecule: long non-coding RNA, 308 nt
Filed under: Mus caroli (Ryukyu mouse)
Lineage: Eukaryota; Metazoa; Chordata; Mammalia; Rodentia; Muridae
Description: predicted gene 28745 (MGP_CAROLIEiJ_G0006553.1)
Source: RNAcentral